AAACAGAAUUUGAUCCCAUCCAAUUACCCACCAUGCCAGGAGACGAAAAUGUCAAAAAACUCAUUGCAGUGCUUGCAUUUCCCUUCGCCACCCAUGCAUCUCCUCUCCUCAGUCUUGUUCAGAGGCUGUCGCCGGCGGUUCCUGAAGCAAGAUUUAUCUUCUUCAACACUGCAAAAUCCAAUAACGCCAUUUUCCUAGAAGAUGACAAGAGGUGGGAUUCUAUAAGGCCCUACAAUGUGUCUGAUGGAACGCCUGAGAAUUAUGUGUCUUCAGGGUCACCCAUGGAGCCCAUUGAGAAUUUUGCAAAGGCAACGCCGGAAAAUUUCAGGACGGCCAUGGAGACGGUGGUGGAAGAGACGGGAAUGGGAUUUAGUUGCAUUAUUACUGAUGCAUUUUAUUGGUUUGCGGCGGAUAUGGCACAAGAAUUGCAGGCCCCUUGGGUCGCAUUUUGGACUGCUGGCCCUCGUUCAGUUCUCUUGCACCUUGAUACCGAUCUAAUCAGGGGAAAUUUGAAACUUAGUAGUGGAAUCGAUGGAAAAAUGUUGGAUUUUCUUCCUGGAUUUUCUGGAAUAUGUGCUACCGACAUACCUCCUGAAAUAACCUGUGGAGACUUAAACUCGCCUAUGCCAAGAAUGUUGCAUAAAAUGGGGUUAAUGCUACCAAAAGCAACUGCUGUGGCCAUAAACUCAUUUGAAGAAAUAGAUACUGCUAUAGUGAAUUUGACCAAUUCAAGAUUUAAGAAGUUUCUCAAUAUUGGUCCCCUGGUGUUGACAUUGCCAGACCUGAAGAUUUCUGAUUCAGAAGGUUGCCUACAAUGGUUGGACAAGCAGAAACAGGAGUCUGUGGCAUAUAUUAGUUUUGGAAGUACAGUAAUGCCUCCACCUCAUGAGCUAGAAGCAUUAGCAGAAGCACUGGAGACAAGUGGGUUUCAUUUCAUUUGGUCAAUUAGAGGAAAUCCAGAGGAGAAGUUGCCAAAAGGGUUCCUGGAAAGGACCAAGGACAAGGGAAUUGUAGUUUCAUGGGCACCACAGUUAAAGAUCUUACAACAUGAAGCAACUGGGGCCUUUAUAACACAUUGUGGAUGGAACUCAGUAUUGGAGAGUAUUGUUGGUGGUGUGCCAAUGAUCUGCAGAGCAUUCUUUGGGGAUCAACGUCUGAACAUGAGGACAAUAGAAAAUGUAUGGGGGGUUGGUACAGGAAUUGGAGAUGGAGAGAUCACUAAGGAUGGUGCAAUGAAAGCAUUAGAACUUGUUUUAUCAAGUGAAGAAGGGCAAUACAUGAGACAGAAACUUGAAGACCUCAGAAAACUAGCUUUUGAUGCUGUGCAAUCUCAUGGUAGCUCUACUGCAAAUUUCGAAACAUUGACAGCAGUCAUCACCAAGUAAUAAUUCUAAUAGCAUUGAAAUGCUGUUUUAGUUUCAUUGUUCGAUUAUAAUUAUUGAAUAAUUCCAUAAGGAAAAGGGUGUUAUAAUUUUCAGUUUACGUAUGUUGAGG
RNAcentral lists this unclassified non-coding RNA (1494 nucleotides) under Hevea brasiliensis (rubber tree). Lineage: Eukaryota; Viridiplantae; Streptophyta; Magnoliopsida; Malpighiales; Euphorbiaceae. The record is from RNAcentral.